CCUACGGGAGGCAGCAGUGGGGAAUAUUGCGCUAAUGCGGGAAACCGUGACGCAGCGACGCCGCGUGAGUGAUGAAGGCCUUAGGGUUGUAAAGCUCUUUUACCCGGGAUGAUAAUGACAGUACCGGGAGAAUAAGCUCCGGUUAACUCCGUGCCAGCAGCCGCGGUAAU
This 170-nucleotide ribosomal RNA is filed under the name uncultured bacterium. RNAcentral's name for it is "partial 16S ribosomal RNA". It matches the Rfam family "Bacterial small subunit ribosomal RNA", at positions 338 to 524 of the family's 1533-position model. The record is from RNAcentral.